Molecule: ribosomal RNA, 1065 nt
Filed under: uncultured bacterium
Lineage: Bacteria
Description: bacterial SSU rRNA
Rfam family: Bacterial small subunit ribosomal RNA
Source: RNAcentral
AUCAGUAGCCGGCCUGAGAGGGUGGACGGCCACAUUGGGACUGAGACACGGCCCAAACUCCUACGGGAGGCAGCAGUGGGGGAUAUUGCACAAUGGGGGAAACCCUGAUGCAGCGACGCCGCGUGAGUGAAGGAGCGUUUCGGCGCGUAAAGCUCUAUCAGCAGGGAAGACAAACUGCCCCGGAAGGGGCAGCCGGACGGUACCUGACCAAGAAGCCCCGGCUAACUACGUGCCAGCAGCCGCGGUAAUGCGUAGGGGGCAAGCGUUAUCCGGAUUUACUGGGUGUAAAGGGAGCGUAGACGGCAAGACAAGCCUGGAGUGAAAGGCGGGGGCCCAACCCCCGGACUGCUCUGGGAACUGUCUGGCUGGAGUGCAGGAGGGGUAAGUGGAAUUCCUAGUGUAGCGGUGAAAUGCGUAGAUAUUAGGAGGAACACCAGUGGCGAAGGCGGCUUACUGGACUGUAACUGACGUUGAGGCUCGAAAGCGUGGGGAGCAAACAGGAUUAGCUACCGUGGUAGUCCACGCCGUAAACGAUGAGUGGUAAUUGUUGGGGGUCGAACGUCAGUGCUGAAGUUAACGCAUUAAGCACUUCGCCUGGGGAGUACGGUUGCAAGAAUGAAAAUCAAAGGAAUUGACGGGGACCCGCACAAGCGGUGGAGCAUGUGGUUUAAUUUGAAGCAACGGGAAGAACCUUACCAGGUCUUGACAUACCAUUGACGCCUCUAGUAGAUAGAGGGUUUCCUUCGGGGACAAUGGAUACAGGUGGCGCAUGGUUGUUGUCAGUUCGUGUCGUGAGAUGUUGGGUUAUGUCCGGCAACGAGCGCAACCCUUCUCGUUUGUCGCCGCGCAAUAAGAUGGGGAUUCUAACGAGACUCCCAGGAUCACACUGGAGGAAGGUGGGGAUGACGUCAAAUCAUCAUGCCCCUUAUGACAUGGGCUACACACGUGCUACAAUGGGUGGUACAAAGAGAAGCGAACCGGUGACGGGGAGCAAACCUCAUAAAGCCAAUCUCAGUUCGGAUUGUAGUCUGCAACUCGCCUACAUGAAGUUGGAAUCGCUAGUAA